Molecule: ribosomal RNA, 956 nt
Filed under: Escherichia coli
Lineage: Bacteria; Pseudomonadati; Pseudomonadota; Gammaproteobacteria; Enterobacterales; Enterobacteriaceae
Also listed under: 2 other names
Description: partial 23S ribosomal RNA
Rfam family: Bacterial large subunit ribosomal RNA
Source: RNAcentral
AGACCCGAAACCCGGUGAUCUAGCCAUGGGCAGGUUGAAGGUUGGGUAACACUAACUGGAGGACCGAACCGACUAAUGUUGAAAAAUUAGCGGAUGACUUGUGGCUGGGGGUGAAAGGCCAAUCAAACCGGGAGAUAGCUGGUUCUCCCCGAAAGCUAUUUAGGUAGCGCCUCGUGAAUUCAUCUCCGGGGGUAGAGCACUGUUUCGGCAAGGGGGUCAUCCCGACUUACCAACCCGAUGCAAACUGCGAAUACCGGAGAAUGUUAUCACGGGAGACACACGGCGGGUGCUAACGUCCGUCGUGAAGAGGGAAACAACCCAGACCGCCAGCUAAGGUCCCAAAGUCAUGGUUAAGUGGGAAACGAUGUGGGAAGGCCCAGACAGCCAGGAUGUUGGCUUAGAAGCAGCCAUCAUUUAAAGAAAGCGUAAUAGCUCACUGGUCGAGUCGGCCUGCGCGGAAGAUGUAACGGGGCUAAACCAUGCACCGAAGCUGCGGCAGCGACACUGUGUGUUGUUGGGUAGGGGAGCGUUCUGUAAGCCUGUGAAGGUGUGCUGUGAGGCAUGCUGGAGGUAUCAGAAGUGCGAAUGCUGACAUAAGUAACGAUAAAGCGGGUGAAAAGCCCGCUCGCCGGAAGACCAAGGGUUCCUGUCCAACGUUAAUCGGGGCAGGGUGAGUCGACCCCUAAGGCGAGGCCGAAAGGCGUAGUCGAUGGGAAACAGGUUAAUAUUCCUGUACUUGGUGUUACUGCGAAGGGGGGACGGAGAAGGCUAUGUUGGCCGGGCGACGGUUGUCCCGGUUUAAGCGUGUAGGCUGGUUUUCCAGGCAAAUCCGGAAAAUCAAGGCUGAGGCGUGAUGACGAGGCACUACGGUGCUGAAGCAACAAAUGCCCUGCUUCCAGGAAAAGCCUCUAAGCAUCAGGUAACAUCAAAUCGUACCCCAAACCGACACAGGUGGU